UACGGGGGGGGCAAGCGUUGUUCGGAAUUACUGGGCGUAAAGGGCUCGUAGGCGGCCAACUAAGUCAGACGUGAAAUCCCUCGGCUUAACCGGGGAACUGCGUCUGAUACUGGAUGGCUUGAGUUUGGGAGAGGGAUGCGGAAUUCCAGGUGUAGCGGUGAAAUGCGUAGAUAUCGGGAGGAACACCAGUGGCGAAGGCGACUUCCUGGCCUGUUAUUGACGCUGAGACGCGAAAGCGUGGGGAGCGAACAGG
This 253-nucleotide ribosomal RNA is filed under the name uncultured bacterium. Its description in RNAcentral is "partial 16S ribosomal RNA". It matches the Rfam family "Bacterial small subunit ribosomal RNA", at positions 524 to 776 of the family's 1533-position model. The record is from RNAcentral.